Long non-coding RNA from Macrobrachium nipponense, 1538 nucleotides. RefSeq lists it as uncharacterized. The record is from RefSeq and is a predicted model, not a curated record. The transcript has 4 exons. NCBI's taxonomy places the organism in Eukaryota, Metazoa, Arthropoda, Malacostraca, Decapoda, Palaemonidae.
CAAAGACUUUACUUGGUAUCACAACAUGACGGAUUUGCAUGAUGCAAUAAUUAUGUCACAGUUGAAACGCGAACGUUGUUUACCCGAAACGUCAUGACGUCAUCCCCAUUUUAUGGAAAGCUGUUAGCUGUUCCUAAAUGCUAAACAGCAAUUGAGUUGAAAUUGGAUUGAUUUGAAAGACAAUGACAACACCAAAGGAGAAGGCCCAAUGUGUGUGGUGGUAUGCUGAAAGUAAAUCACCAAUUACCGUUCAGCGACAAUUCCAGGAGGAAUAUGGAAAAGAUCCUCCUUCCAAAUCCUACAUAAUGAGAUGGGUCAAAAACUUUCAGGAGACUGGUAGCGUUGAGGACUUAGACUUGCCUCGGAGUGGACGACCAGGUGUCAGUCAAGAAACUGUCGACAAGGUGCAAGAUGCGUUUCAACGUAGUCCUCAAAAGUCUAUCCGUUGUGCAUCACGAGAAUUGCAGGUGGUAUCCCUAUUGGCGAUGGCUCAGCAUCUGUAACAUAUAUCAUGAAAUGUACAAGCCGUAGACCAAGAAAAUAAGAGAAGCCAUUAAUGAUGCCAUAGAUUUUGAAGGAGCCAGGGCAUCCAACCAGGUCAAAGGACUGCAGCUCCUUACACUAUAAUUGUAACAUCAAAAAUAAAACGUGAGGUCAACAAGAAGAAUGACCAAGGAAAAGAAAAGCAUCGCACACUGAAGAGGAAGAAUUGUGGAAUAGCAGGACCCAAGUGUAUGCCAAAAUAAAAUGUUGUCCUAAUCCCACUAAGAGAGCAGGUGACCAACAGCGGUGGAGGUGCUAAAGUCAAAGAAUCUCAAAUAUUAGCUGAAGAAGGCUGCACAUGAAAGCUUGGACAUAGUAGUGUUUAGCUCAUAUGAACAGGUCUCACUCAAGGGCUGCUUGUGAUGAGGACAGAGUACAUCUUUGUAAGCAGGCUUGCUGCCACCACCAAAACAUUCAGCAAAAGAAAAUUGUUGAGUGGUGUAAUGCUGACAUGAAGUGGCAGUCAAUUUCUAGAAGAUUCGAGGACCCUAAAGAGGAAGGGAACUUAGAAGUGGUAGACAUACAAAGGCAAAGUACCUCUUUUGGAAGGUCCUUCCCAAUAAUACCCAGUCCCUGAUACAUGAACCAAGUGGGCUGGGCCACAAACCAAUUUUAUACUAAUGUUAAAGGUUCAUGAAUGCUUUUGUAGCAUGACAUAGGUUUGCAGAAGUAAGCACACACCUCUAUCUCUACAAUAAGACAAGGAAUUAGAUGAUGCUAUAAAUACAUUAUUUUAUUUGUUUUACUCAACCUUGAUGUUAGAAAUACAUCAUUGAAUUUGUUUUAACGCAACCAUGUUUCCAUGCUACUAUAGUUAAGUCAUAAUGUAAAGAAAGAUAGUAUUCUAUAAAUUUUUGUUUAUCCAUGAUUCUAAUAAUCUUUGCUCACCCAGGCCAAAGUGCUUUUGUAUGCAGUUAUUUUGUAUGGUGAAUAACUAAUGUUUUACAGGUAACACCAAACUAUCAUUACUAUCAGUAAAUAAAUUUCCAAGAAAA